GCACGGAUGCCCGAGCGGUUAAGGGGGCGGACUUAAGAUCCCCUGGUCGUAAAGACCUCGUGGGUUCGAAUCCCACUCCGUGCA
Eimeria tenella is the source of this 84-nucleotide non-coding RNA. NCBI's taxonomy places the organism in Eukaryota, Apicomplexa, Conoidasida, Eucoccidiorida, Eimeriidae. The record is from Rfam.